UUUGGAAUUUGAGAUUUUGGAGUUUGAGGUUUGGGAUUAGAGAGUUCAAAAUUUAAGGUUUAAAACUUAUGUAACACCACUAACCCAAUAAAUCAAAACAUUUCAUAUUUAAUUCUCAUUCAUCAUAUAGAAAUUCAUUCACAUACAUUCAUAUAAUAGCUUAUAGGAGCGGUUAAGGCCUAAAAUAAACAUUAAAAAUGAGUUGGGACUAAACCGAGUACUAAAAAAAUUUACGGAAAAACAUAAAAAAAUUUCACAAUACAGGGGACAUACGCCCGUGUGGCCAGGCCGUGUGGCACACAUGGCCAAUUGACACGCCCGUGUCGUAACUCGUGUAAGCAUUGGAUGUGAGGCACACAGCUAUGUCCCAGCCCGUGCUCAUGCCAAUCAAAGUGUGAUUGUUGCACACAUGGCCAAGUGACAUGCCUGUGUCGUAAGCCGUGUGAGCAUUGGAUGUGAGGCACACUGUGUCCUAGCCCGUGCUCAUGCCAGUCAAAGUGUGAUUGUGGCACACAUGGCCAAGUGACAUGCCCGUGUCGUAAGCUGUGUGGGCAUUGGAUGUGAGGCACACAGCUGUGUCCUAGCCCGUACUCAUGCCAGUCAAAGUGUGAUGGAAUUACUAGUGAUGGUGAACAAAGUGGUGUUGUUGUGGUACUUUGGGUUGCUACUUCUGCUGGGCUUGGUAGGUCUACUGCUGAUCCUCCAAGAUCUUUCAGCGCUUCCUCUAGUCCUUUGAUUUGAUUCUCAAUUAGUUGGCUUUCUUUCAACUUUUGGUCCAAAAUUGCUUUUAUUGCUUUUAUUGUUGCUGCCAUUCCCUCGUCAGUGUAUCCGGCUGUGUCCUGAAAUAAAAAUGGCUUUAAACAUGUAGCUCCUAAUUUUGAGUUGCCACCUGAUAAGCUUGCCUUGAUUACGGUUCCCCUUGAGUUAUAAUUGAGAAAUCCUGUAACAGAGCUUGAGUUUGUUCUGAGUAUAAACUCAAUCGUGAUCUACACAUCUUUAAAGUAUAACUUUUAACUUUUCUUGAUGUUCUUCUCUUGAUACUUUAAUAAAGAUUAUAAUAUCGUCUUUAUAAGCUAGACCUAUGUUUUCUAAUCCUUCUAAAUUUUUGUCCAUAAAUCUCUUAUAUAUACUAGGGGCUUGUUUUAGUCCAAAGGGUAAUACUAUAAAUUCAUAUUGUUUCUGAGGUGGACAACUAAAAGCUGUUAAUGGAAUUGUGUUUUCAUGAAGUGUUAGCUGCCAAUAUCCAGACUUAGCAUCUAAUGUACUAAACCAGUUACAGCCUUUUAAUUAUGCUAAAAUAUAAUCUUUUCUAGGAAGCUUAUAUAGGCGUCUCCUAUGGUAGCAUCAUUCAUUUUUUUUUUAUAAUUUAUGAAUAUUCUUCUUUUUCCUCGUUUUAUUUCAUUAUGGUUCUCUAUAUAGAAAGCUGUGUCUAUGUAGGCCAUUACUACUUUAUUGUGUAUCUUUACCUUAAUGUAUGUACUAUUCUUUCCUCUAGGGCAUGUUUCUUUAUUUGUUUAUCAGAUUCUGUAUUACUAUUUGUUUCCGAUUCUGUAUUACUAUUCGUUUCUAUUUCUAUUUUUUUAGAUAAUAAAGACAUUUUAAUGUAUUUUUUUGGUGAAAAAAGAGAAAUACAUCAACUACGUACGUAAACCAUCCAUUGUCUUUUUCUUCUUGUAGCAAAACACUUAUUUUGUCUGGAGCCUAAUUUGAAGGCUUGUUUUUCAGCUCAAACUGAGUUUGGCUAACCUAUCUGCAACCAAGUUUUGGGUUCUUGGAAUGUGUUUAAUGUAUUAUUAAACUUUCAUAAUCAUCUCUCCAUUCUUUCUUUUUAUCGUCUUCCUUUAUUACAAAUUCUUUUCCUUUAUCUUUGUUAUCCUUACUGUGUAUUAAUUCUUUAUUUCUAAAAAAUUCGUGUAAUUCUUUUAAGGUCAGACAUUUUUCUGUUGUUUUAUCUUUUUUCUUUUUGGUUUCUAUUUUACUUUUUUGUUUCAUUAAAAUCUUCCAGAAUUUCUUGGUGUUUUAUUAAUUUAUCUUCUCAGUACAUGACAUUGUUAUACCUAGGGAGGAUCCAAAAAUUCUUUCAGUGAGAAUCUUGGAAACCCUUUAGGUUUCCAGUCAAUAUACUGUAGAAUUUCAUGCUUUCCAUAUGAUAUGCAAACAUAAAAUAAAUAGUUGUACCCGAACCUGGAUUUUGUUCGUCGAUCACUUGUUGAUGAAGAUGAUGGUCUUUUAAGUUGACGUGAGGCCUUUGUUUUUGUGUUUAUGAUGGAUGAAGUUUAAAACUUCGUGGUAUGGUUAAGGGUAAACGUCUUGGUAAAAUGAAGCCGGAGCUUCCAAGGAUACAGACCUCCUUUUGGUCUCUUUUAUAAACUUUGAAAAUUCUCAGAAACUUUUUACUCUGCUUAUUUGAUAACUGGAUGCUACCUUAU
This 2429-nucleotide long non-coding RNA is filed under the name Gossypium barbadense (sea-island cotton). RNAcentral's name for it is "long non-coding RNA (GBAR_LNC006734)". Lineage: Eukaryota; Viridiplantae; Streptophyta; Magnoliopsida; Malvales; Malvaceae. The record is from RNAcentral.